RNAcentral lists this ribosomal RNA (274 nucleotides) under uncultured bacterium. Its description in RNAcentral is "partial 16S ribosomal RNA". It matches the Rfam family "Bacterial small subunit ribosomal RNA", at positions 81 to 354 of the family's 1533-position model. The record is from RNAcentral.
CACCUGCCGGCGACCGGCGCACGGGUGAGUAACACGUAUGGAACCUGCCCGCCACAGGGGGAUAACUCGGGGAAACCCGGCCUAAUACCCCAUGCCGCCCGGACCGGGCAUCUGGUCCGGGCGAAAGGAGGAAUCCGGUGGCGGCUGGGCAUGCGGCGCAUUAGCUUGACGGCGGGGUAACGGCCCACCGUGGCGACGAUGCGUAGGGGUUCUGAGAGGAAGGCCCCCCACACUGGAACUGAGACACGGUCCAGACUCCUACGGAAGGCAGCAG